This 463-nucleotide ribosomal RNA is filed under the name uncultured bacterium. RNAcentral describes it as "partial 16S ribosomal RNA". It matches the Rfam family "Bacterial small subunit ribosomal RNA", at positions 28 to 507 of the family's 1533-position model. The record is from RNAcentral.
GACGAACGCUGGCGGCGUGCUUAACACAUGCAAGUCGAACGGAAAGGCCUUUUCGGAGGUACUCGAGUGGCGAACGGGUGAGUAACACGUGGGUGAUCUGCCCUGCACUCUGGGAUAAGCCUGGGAAACUGGGUCUAAUACCGGAUAGGACCGCACUUUAGUGUGCGUGGUGGAAAGUUUUUUCGGUGUAGGAUGAGCCCGCGGCCUAUCAGCUUGUUGGUGGGGUAAUGGCCUACCAAGGCGGCGACGGGUAGCCGGACUGAGAGGUUGGUCGGCCACAUUGGGACUGAGAUACGGCCCAGACUCCUACGGGAGGCAGCAGUGGGGAAUAUUGCACAAUGGGCGCAAGCCUGAUGCAGCGACGCCGCGUGGGGGAUGACGGCCUUCGGGUUGUAAACUCCUUUCGCCAGGGACGAAGCGUUUUGUGACGGUACCUGGAGAAGAAGCACCGGCUAACUACGUG